This is a small nucleolar RNA of Melanotaenia boesemani (Boeseman's rainbowfish), 83 nucleotides long. RefSeq annotates it as small nucleolar RNA SNORD53/SNORD92. Lineage: Eukaryota; Metazoa; Chordata; Actinopteri; Atheriniformes; Melanotaeniidae. The transcript has a single exon. The record is from RefSeq and is a predicted model, not a curated record.
UCGGAGUGAUGAUGCUGAGAAAUGGUUUCGCUCAUUGAGCUGAUGACGUGUGAUGUCACACCUUCUCUUGGCUGUCUGACCAA